UACGUAGGUGGCAAGCGUUGUCCGGAAUUAUUGGGCGUAAAGAGCGCGUAGGCGGCGGGACCAGUCAGGCGUGAAAGCCCCCGGCUCAACCGGGGAGGGCCAUUGGAAACUGGGAGGCUUGAGUAUAGGAGAGAAGAGUGGAAUUCCACGUGUAGCGGUGAAAUGCGUAGAGAUGUGGAGGAACACCAGUGGCGAAGGCGACUCUUUGGCCUAUAACUGACGCUGAGGCGCGAAAGCGUGGGGAGCAAACAGG
RNAcentral lists this unclassified non-coding RNA (253 nucleotides) under uncultured Caryophanales bacterium. Its description in RNAcentral is "uncultured Bacillales bacterium contains 16S-23S intergenic spacer region". It matches the Rfam family "Bacterial small subunit ribosomal RNA", at positions 524 to 776 of the family's 1533-position model. The record is from RNAcentral. Lineage: Bacteria; Bacillati; Bacillota; Bacilli; Caryophanales.